This 20-nucleotide ribosomal RNA is filed under the name Xylogone sphaerospora. Its description in RNAcentral is "partial 28S ribosomal RNA". Lineage: Eukaryota; Fungi; Ascomycota; Leotiomycetes. The record is from RNAcentral.
UUGCUUGCCAGACAAUCACU